RNAcentral lists this ribosomal RNA (468 nucleotides) under uncultured bacterium. RNAcentral's name for it is "partial 16S ribosomal RNA". It matches the Rfam family "Bacterial small subunit ribosomal RNA", at positions 28 to 507 of the family's 1533-position model. The record is from RNAcentral.
GACGAACGCUGGCGGCGUGCUUAACACAUGCAAGUCGAACGGAAAGGCCCUGCUUUUGUGGGGUGUUCGAGUGGCGAACGGGUGAGUAACACGUGAGUAACCUGCCCUUGACUUUGGGAUAACUUCAGGAAACUGGGGCUAAUACCGGAUAGGAGCUCCUGCUGCAUGGUGGGGGUUGGAAAGUUUCGGCGGUUGGGGAUGGACUCGCGGCUUAUCAGCUUGUUGGUGGGGUAGUGGCUUACCAAGGCUUUGACGGGUAGCCGGCCUGAGAGGGUGACCGGCCACAUUGGGACUGAGAUACGGCCCAGACUCCUACGGGAGGCAGCAGUGGGGAAUAUUGCACAAUGGGCGGAAGCCUGAUGCAGCAACGCCGCGUGCGGGAUGACGGCCUUCGGGUUGUAAACCGCUUUCGCCUGUGACGAAGCGUGAGUGACGGUAAUGGGUAAAGAAGCACCGGCUAACUACGUG